GAUGAACGCUGGCGGCGUGCUUAACACAUGCAAGUCGAACGGUGAACACGGAGCUUGCUCUGUGGGAUCAGUGGCGGACGGGUGAGUAACACGUGAGCAACCUGCCCCUGACUCUGGGAUAAGCGCUGGAAACGGCGUCUAAUACUGGAUAUGUGACGUGACCGCAUGGUCUGCGUUUGGAAAGAUUUUUCGGUUGGGGAUGGGCUCGCGGCCUAUCAGCUUGUUGGUGAGGUAAUGGCUCACCAAGGCGUCGACGGGUAGCCGGCCUGAGAGGGUGACCGGCCACACUGGGACUGAGACACGGCCCAGACUCCUACGGGAGGCAGCAGUGGGGAAUAUUGCGCAAUGGGCGCAAGCCUGAUGCAGCAACGCCGCGUGAGGGAUGACGGCCUUCGGGUUGUAAACCUCUUUUAGCAGGGAAGAAGCGAAAGUGACGGUACCUGCAGAAAAAGCGCCGGCUAACUACGUG
Molecule: ribosomal RNA, 469 nt
Filed under: uncultured bacterium
Lineage: Bacteria
Description: partial 16S ribosomal RNA
Rfam family: Bacterial small subunit ribosomal RNA
Source: RNAcentral